CCCCGCUUCGACCGGCCAGCCUCACCGUAGGUCUCGGCCAUGGCUCAGUGGCGACCGCUGAGGGCCGCAAUAUGGCGCCGCGGCCGCGCCUGCUCCUCGGCUGGCAGCCGCUCCACUUGGGCUGCAGCCUCAGCUCCUUUCCACUCCCGGACCCGGCGCCGCCACUUCCGCCUUCACCCCCCCACUCCCGCGCGAACCUCCAGAGCUGCGGAUACCAGGCCACGCUUGCCCAACGCCGGGAUUGGCGGACUCGGAAGGCAGCGGGCGGGACGGAUGGCGCAGAUUGGUGUCAUGUUAGGGGCCGAGUCGAAAGGGGCGUAACCCAGGUUUCAGAAUCAGGUCCUCCCGAACAAUGCUACUGGGGAAGUAGCCCAGGCGGGCAGCCGCAUCUCCAUAGUAAUCUCCCUGAACCUGGAGAAGAACUUGUAAGUCCAUCUGGGAAAAAAAGGGCACUCGUGCCUGCUGAACUCCAGUGCACAAUCUCUCAUUUGAACCUCAGCUUAACGUCACUUGCUUGUGGCCAGAAUGUAGCCACCAUAACUAAUCCUCACAAUGGCAUGUUUGCUGGCACUUCUGAUGGUAAGCUGGUUGCCUGUCUCCACCCAUUAGAAAUGAAAGGGGUUGUUCACUGAUAUAGCUGAGGUCUGGAAAAGAGCUUGGAACCAAGCUGCCCUGUAAUUGCUAAAGUAAAAAUGCAAUAAGUGAUAAAAUAUCCUUACCCCCCAAAUCUGUGCCCCCCCUCACCCAAAUUUUCCCUUCAGAGGGAAAACAGGGUACUCCAUACCCUUCCCUCUAAUACUGAAGACUCACACUGCCUCCCCAGAAGAGCCGUCCACGGCCCUUCAGCUUGGAGAAGACAUACACCACUUGGCCCCUGUACACAUUCAAGAAGCGGCAAUCAGGAGCCACGUAGUCCUGAAGGGCCACAGCCAUGGAGAUAGGAUCUGGAGAAGGAGACGGGAAUGACAGCAACAUCAACACAGACCAGCAGUCCAAGCCCUCAGCCCCUUGCCCUUCUUCCCUGACUCUUACGGCUGCAUUCCUCAUCCGCACACAGCUUCCACUCAGCCAGCUUGGGCAUGUCACGAUCAGCCCCGCUGGGCCCUGGGAAAACAGACAAGAAGAUGGCACCAAGGAGUACUGGGGACCGCACCAUCAUGGACUGAGAAUGACCAAGUGAGGAAUGGGAUCUCCAGUCUCCUCCUGCCCUCCCUCAGUGCUGAGCCACAAGGAAAGCUGUGUUCUCAAUCCUGUCUCCGCCCCAGACCAAAUUACACUUCCCCCACCCACUCCCCAAGGUUGUUAUUCAGCCAGAACCAUUUCAGAGACAGGGUAAGGGCUAUGGGCCAAAGAAAAUGCCCCCUGGAGCCCAAAGCAACCCAGGCCAUUCCAAAUAGCAGCUACCCCCUCAAUAAUCAGAGACCUGGAUAGGCAGGCUGAUCUAAUCUGAUUCCUUCUUCAAGUCAUUUCAGGCACCCGGACCCUCCAGAGACCAAACUAGAGAGGCCAGCAUAGAAAACCACCUUGGAAUUUCCUGUGUUGAGAACAAGGCCGCUCUGUGAUUAGCAGCCACAGCCACAGUUCCCAGGUACUGAGCAAACACCCAAUGUCCGGUCUCAGGCUGGGACUGUCCCGACUGGCUUACUGUGCAUCUUCACAGGCUUCUUCCUCCCUGGAAGGCCUGAGCUAAGUUAUGUUCGCCUCCCUCAUCUGCAAAGACAGCAAUGAAAGCAAAGGACAUCUAUCAAGUGUUAUUUUUGUUUGGGUGUGUGAAUGUUUUGUUACAUAUAUGUCUGUGUACUGCAUGUGUGCUUGGUACCCUUGAAGGUUUUGGAACUGGAGCUAGACAGUGACAGUUGUGUGCCCCCACAAUUAAACCUGAGUCUAGAAGAGCAGCCACUGCUCUGCUCUUAACUGCUGAGCCAUCAUUCCAGCACACACACGCACCCCUUUUGUUUUUAAUGUUCAUUGGUGUUUUACCUGCAUGUAUGUCUGUGUGAGGCUGUCAGUUACAGUUGUUAGCUGCGAUGUGGAUGCUGGGAAUUGAACCCAGGUCCUCUGGAAGAGCAGUCAGUACUCUUAACUGUGGAGCCAUUUCUCAAACCCCCAGUCCACCUGUUUGUGGAAACAGGGUUCUACUACAUAGUCUUGGCUGUUCUGGGACUCCCUAUAUAGACCAGGCUGGCCUCAAAGUUACAAGGGAUCAACCUGCCUCUGCCUUCCCAGUGAUGGGUAAGGCAUGCACCACCAUACAGGGUUAGAAUCAUGUAUAUUUUUCCCCUAGGGGCUCUGACAAGCCCAGUUCAUGAAGAAAUUAUUAAGUCAAGGAACAUGUGUGCAAAGUAACUGAACCAGGAAGGGGGCCAAGAUUCGUCUCAAGGUUUCCAAGUAUCAUUGUUAUCUGGCCUGAGAAAUAGCUCAUCAACAGAUAAGCAGGGAAGAGGCCCAAAAACUGUUCAGGGACCUCAUAAAGAUGUUAUGACUUAGUGGCUAUGGCAGCUUGAAUGAGAACGGUGCCUAUAGGCUAAUACAGUUGAGUGGUUCUCAGUUGUUGAGCUAUUUAGGCAAAAACCCAGCUCUCUGCCUCCAUCUGGCAGAUCAGAUGUAAGCUCCAGCACCAUGCUGGCCUAUUGCCAUGAUAGCCACCAUGAUGGCCAUGAACUAAUCCUCCCAAACUGUAAACAAGCCAAGUAAAUGUUUUCUUUUUAAA
This is a long non-coding RNA of Arvicola amphibius (Eurasian water vole), 2710 nucleotides long. RefSeq lists it as uncharacterized. The transcript has 2 exons. The record is from RefSeq and is a predicted model, not a curated record. Lineage: Eukaryota; Metazoa; Chordata; Mammalia; Rodentia; Cricetidae.